ACGCGUUCUUCAUGUUCGCCUGUUAAGAGAUACCUACCUCGCCAUUGACCACGGAUGUACUGGCAUUGGCUGAAGGUGUUGAGGAAGGUCGGGUUCAGCCCGGCCUUUUUUCUU
Molecule: small RNA, 114 nt
Filed under: Sinorhizobium meliloti 1021
Lineage: Bacteria; Pseudomonadati; Pseudomonadota; Alphaproteobacteria; Hyphomicrobiales; Rhizobiaceae
Description: Alphaproteobacterial sRNA ar35
Rfam family: Alphaproteobacterial sRNA ar35
Source: Rfam by way of RNAcentral